GACAGAGGUGCCAAGCGUUAGGCGGAAUCACUGGGCUUAAAGCGUGUGUAGGUGGAUGUCUAAGUACCUUGUGAAAUCCCAUGGCUCAACCAUGGAACUGCUUGGUAUACUGGAUGCCUUGAGCCACUUAGGGGCUACCGGAACAAAUGGUGGAGCGGUGAAAUGCGUAGAUAUCAUUUGGAACGCCAAUGGUGAAAACAGGUAGCUGGGAGUGUGCUGACACUGAGACACGAAAGCCAGGGGAGCGAACGGG
This 253-nucleotide ribosomal RNA is filed under the name uncultured bacterium. RNAcentral's name for it is "partial 16S ribosomal RNA". It matches the Rfam family "Bacterial small subunit ribosomal RNA", at positions 524 to 776 of the family's 1533-position model. The record is from RNAcentral.